Molecule: long non-coding RNA, 528 nt
Organism: Arachis duranensis
Lineage: Eukaryota; Viridiplantae; Streptophyta; Magnoliopsida; Fabales; Fabaceae
Exons: 3
Source: RefSeq, a predicted model, not a curated record
GAAAAAGGAAUUCAGGGUGGAAGCCUACCCGAGUUUCAUUCCCUUCAUAGAUAGAAAAAAAUUAACUUCGCAUCCAUAUAUUUUUGCUCCUGUUUGCCACUCGGGGCAUUGGUGGUUAUGGCUGAUAAAUACAACAAAGCGGAAAUGUCAAAUACUUGACCCGCUACACAAAAAAGCUCCAAGCGAUGAGAGAAAUGACAUUAAUAAAUUCACUGUAAGUUGUCUCUGUCUUCUUUACUUUAAUAGAUAGGUCUAUUUCGUUAGUUGUGUUGGGUGUAUAUUGUCCAUUCAGUUGGGUGUAUCUUGUCCAUUCAUUCGGGUGUAUUACUGAUUUGUUUUGGUAUUUAAGGGAUAUGUAUUUUCAAGAUUGAUAACAUAUGCCGGCAGGGAACCUCUGGAGAAAGGGGAGAACGAGAAGAAAAUUAAAGCAUCAUAUGUUAAAAUAUCAGGCCAAAAAACAAGCUAUGACUGCGCUAUCUACGUUAUGAAGUGGCUUGAGUUAAUUGAGCCGGAAAACAUAAAAAAGGG